UUGGCAUGAUGAGGAAAUUCAUUGAAUAACUGAUCUACUGGAUGAGAAAUUCCUCCUACUCAUUCUGA
Molecule: small nucleolar RNA, 68 nt
Filed under: Leersia perrieri
Lineage: Eukaryota; Viridiplantae; Streptophyta; Magnoliopsida; Poales; Poaceae
Description: snoRNA snoZ105
Rfam family: Small nucleolar RNA Z105
About the family: This family consists of several snoRNA Z105 sequences which are members of the C/D class of snoRNA which contain the C (UGAUGA) and D (CUGA) box motifs. This family seems to be found exclusively in plants.
Source: Rfam by way of RNAcentral